GAUUGAACGCUGGCGGCAGGCCUAACACAUGCAAGUCGAACGGUAACAGGAAGAAGCUUGCUUCUUUGCUGACGAGUGGCGGACGGGUGAGUAAUGUCUGGGAAACUGCCUGAUGGAGGGGGAUAACUACUGGAAACGGUAGCUAAUACCGCAUAACGUCGCAAGACCAAAAAGGGGGACCUUCGGGCCUCUUGCCAUCGGAUGUGCCCAGAUGGGAUUAGCUAGUAGGUGGGGUAACGGCUCACCUAGGCGACGAUCCCUAGCUGGUCUGAGAGGAUGACCAGCCACACUGGAACUGAGACACGGUCCAGACUCCUACGGGAGGCAGCAGUGGGGAAUAUUGCACAAUGGGCGCAAGCCUGAUGCAGCCAUGCCGCGUGUAUGAAGAAGGCCUUCGGGUUGUAAAGUACUUUCAGCGGGGAGGAAGGGAGUAAAGUUAAUACCUUUGCUCAUUGACGUUACCCGCAGAAGAAGCACCGGCUAACUCCGUG
RNAcentral lists this ribosomal RNA (491 nucleotides) under uncultured bacterium. RNAcentral's name for it is "partial 16S ribosomal RNA". It matches the Rfam family "Bacterial small subunit ribosomal RNA", at positions 27 to 507 of the family's 1533-position model. The record is from RNAcentral.